AUUGAACGCUGGCGGCAGGCCUAACACAUGCAAGUCGAGCGGAUGAAGGGAGCUUGCUCCUGGAUUCAGCGGCGGACGGGUGAGUAAUGCCUAGGAAUCUGCCUGGUAGUGGGGGAUAACGUCCGGAAACGGGCGCUAAUACCGCAUACGUCCUGAGGGAGAAAGUGGGGGAUCUUUGGACCUCACGCUAUCUGAUGAGCCUAGGUCGGAUUAGCUAGUUGGUGAGGUAAAGGCCUACCAAGGCGACGAUCCGUAACUGGUCUGAGAGGAUGAUCAGUCACACUGGAACUGAGACACGGUCCAGACUCCUACGGGAGGCAGCAGUGGGGAAUAUUGGACAAUGGGCGAAAGCCUGAUCCAGCCAUGCCGCGUGUGUGAAGAAGGUCUUCGGAUUGUAAAGCACUUUAAGUUGGGAGGAAGGGCAGUAAGUUAAUACCUUGCUGUUUUGACGUUACCAACAGAAUAAGCACCGGCUAACUUCGUG
This 484-nucleotide ribosomal RNA is filed under the name uncultured bacterium. Its description in RNAcentral is "partial 16S ribosomal RNA". It matches the Rfam family "Bacterial small subunit ribosomal RNA", at positions 30 to 507 of the family's 1533-position model. The record is from RNAcentral.